Macrobrachium nipponense is the source of this 4381-nucleotide long non-coding RNA. RefSeq lists it as uncharacterized. The record is from RefSeq and is a predicted model, not a curated record. Lineage: Eukaryota; Metazoa; Arthropoda; Malacostraca; Decapoda; Palaemonidae. The transcript is spliced from 3 exons.
GGUCGGCCCCGACAGUCUACCUGUGGCCGGUGUUACAGACUCGGUGUGCGCUGACUGUUGUGUGUGUGUGUAUUUUCGGUUCCUUCAACGUGUAGGUCUUUUCUGGCCUUAAUACACAGCUACCGCACCUCCUCCAGAGUGGUGAACAGACAGGCAGACCAAAUAUGUCACGCCAGGGCUAAACCUAAAUAUUUUUAGUGGGCGAUGCUUCGCUUCAAGUUCUACUGGAGCCAUUUCGAUGAUCCAAGUCGUUUGAGUACUACAUCCAUGAAGACGAUUAGGUACAGCUCACAGUUCGCCAGGGUCAAGUCAUUUAAGUUGCAUUAUAAAACAGAAAAAAGGCAUAGUAUCUCUUCAUUUAUGUAGAGCCAUUGAUAGAUCUUAUAGCAGAGAAUUAAAAAUGUUCCUCAGUAAAGCUCCAUUUGUUACGUGGUCUAUUACUACGAACGUAUUUUGAAUUUUGAAAUUAAUUGAACUCUGGAGUAAGCGUUGUCGACAGUCGGUUUUUACGAACCAUUUGGCCAAUACUUUAAUUACUAUCAGUACUUUUUAUUGUUUGUUAGUCGAUGAGUAAAUUAGGAUAGAGAAUGCAGUCAAUUAAAUACAAUAGCCUAGGUAUCUAAUUCUUAUUUGCAAAAUGAACACGGUAGGUUAAGAUGUCAUUAUUAUAGCUGAAUCACGCAAAUUGUUAUGAAUAAUGAAAGUAAUAUCUAAAUUAAGAAGCAAAUAAAGUAAUGGGAAACUGAAUUUUGGCGUCUGGUUCGUUAAGUUUUUAUGUCUAUAACGAUGCAAUGUGUCGCUUUUAAUUCUUAAAAGAAAAAUCGUAGAUAUUUGAAGAAAUCUGUUUUAGUGUUUAAAUUGUUAGUGUAGCUGUAUCAAAUUGACUUUGAGGAUUUACUGAAACGACUACGGAGGAAUUACUUCAAUGUCAAAGGGAGCAAAUUGGCGUCGACAGUUGAACUGUGGAAUCGUCUGCAGGGUGCAUAUGGGACAAGCUGAUUAGACCACAGUAUCGCCUAGCAAUUCAACAAGUAUCUGUGAACGAAGAACUGGACUUCAAGAAAGCCUACAUUUAUAAUUAACAAGUAGAAUGUAGUACUUAACCUGUGUCAACAGAUGCCUAUGGCCAGAUGAAAUGGUCCCACCAAACAUUUCCUUACCAGUUAAACAAUAGUUUUGUGGCACAGUCUUGGCUACUCAUGAUUCAUAAGUUUAUCAUGCCAAGUACUUCAGUACAUUUCAGGACAGCUGUUUCCAUUUCUUACCAGUUUAAGAUUCGAUCAGUUGUAGGAUACGUGCAUCGCUUUUUGAAAAUAAAUUGUCCAUAUGUUUAAUAUUAGUUGUCAAGUACGGUAGUUCUGUGUGUUUCAGGAUACAUUGUUUUACCUGAUCAGGGAUCUAGUGUCGGUCAGAGCCGUAUAUACGGCUCUGGUGUCGGUGUGAUAUCAGUCAAAAGUAACUGUGUGUCUGGAUACGUAGGUCAUUCAAUUUUCUUGUGAAGUAUUAACAAUCUGGCAACUUUCAGGAUACGUGCUUUUUAUUUACAUAAGAUUAACCAUAAGAUUUAUGGUUUCAAAUUAACCAUAAAAUAAUCUCAGUUGGUUUUAGGAUAAUUAGCCUUUAUUUUGUUUAUCUAAAUAAAAAAAUGAAAUAUUAGUUCAAUUUCUCAGCCGUGUUAACAUCAGCUGCCAAGGAUCGUAGUCAUUCAUUGCAGGCUGCAUAGUUUUUACCAGUGUUCCUAUUAGUUUACUAUCAACUAUCAGAUAGUUACGGAUGUUUCAGGCUCCAUAAUUUUAAACAUAAAAUUUCUUGUUAGCGAAGUAGCAUCUAUUAGGAGCCAUGGCUACCUUGUGACUAUUUUAUAUCGAGUAGUCACAUAUGUUGAAGAAUAGCCUUCCAUCAACUUAGUUUGAUAUUACAGUCAAGUAAUUGACUAUUUCACGGAAUAUAUCUUCGUCUAGUUGCGAUCUGCACGCUUGCCUAUGUACAAAGGUCACUUGAGAUUAAUGGUAGAAUAUAAUGAUGAUUUUCUGUCAUUCCCUGAUCUUCUACAAAAACUAUCAAUAGCAAAAAGAUUCAAUAGUUGCAAACAACAGGAUUGAUUGACUUAAUGGAAUAUCUUCGUGUUGGUCAGUAUAGUUAGGAAUAGCUGUGUGGAGUCAGACUUUUCAGGUAAUGACCUUCAUAGAAGAGAUAACAUUCAAGGCUAAUUAUUCCUGAUAUUUUUCCUCAGUAAAGCUUAUUAUAGAUAUUGCUAAACUAACUUCCAUAGCAUUAGGAACUUGGAAUUAAGCUGCUCGUAUACAUUUUUGAAAGUUUUGUCCAUAGUUUGUUUAUUUAGUGAUUUAAAUCAGAUUGCCUCUAGAAAAUUGGGAAUAGUUCCGAGAUUUUAAGUUAUUGUAAUGUUAUGUCAGUGUUGGUUUUUAUACUUUGAAACUUUGGUUGCUGAAAGGCUCUGCUGAAUACAAGAGAAAGAGAACUUAUCCUGAAGCAUUGACGUGAUUGCACUGUUAAAACAGGAGAUAUUUCAGUAGUCUAUUAGUUUUAUCUCACAAAAAAAGUGUUAAAGAACUUUUCAUUCUUUCCAAGCGAUUAAACAAAACUGUGAAUUUUGUGCAAAGCUUGCCAUGACAAUAAUGCUGCUUGUUUAACAUGAAACACACACCACUUAGAGGUUAAUUUUGUAAAUAGUGGAGAGUACUUUAUCGAGGGCAUUGUCGUCAUGGGAUCUCUGCAUAUUUCAAGACACUGAGGCUGGGAUGGGGAGGUUCCAAAUUAAGUCUCCUUUUUCGGGCAAUCUUGCAUUGUUGUCAAAAUGCAUCAUAGAUAAAUUAUUGAAUAAGUGAACUCUGAAUUUCACUGUUACUUCAAGGGCCAUUUGCAAUACUGUUAAUGGUAUUUUAGGUAAAGGAUUCAGUCAUAUUGAAUGCAUCACUUAUGGAUAGUUUGAUUUUUCUAAAAUUAUCAUAGGUAGAUGAACCUGUAAGUAGACUCAAAUUCAAAGCGUUACCUUAAAUGAGAUUAGGUAUUGUUAACAAGGGCUCCUUAGGUAUAUGAAUGUCAUUCGAAAGUAGUCUCUGAAAGGGAGUAGUUUGACAAGGCUAUAUUUGACAUAUGGAUGAAUAAGUAUUCUCAGUUAUGUGAACAGUUUAUUCGAUUUCAUGUUACAGUGAUAGAUAAACUUUCUUGGAAGAUUAAAAUCACUUACCUUGAGAACUAGUCAUUUAUUUUUCUCUAGGAAACUGAGUAUAUUCGGGACAUUUGGCACACAAGAUCAAUUCCUUCCUUAGUAGACUCAUAGCUAUUGGGAUAUUUGCUAUUUAAUUUAAUACGAUUUUUUACUGUUUCCUUGCAAGGUUCUCACAGAGGGACUGAUUGUCCAUGAACACUGUAAAUGGGAGUGGUUAGGUUGAAGAGGUUGAACAGCAAAGUGGAAGGAACUACAGGGGAAAUUAUCUGAUAAUCGGGGAGUUUUGUUACACGUAGACUUGGUCUCAAGAAUGGUUAUCAGAAAUUAAAUGUUAAGAGAAGAGUUCUGUCUAAGCUUCAGACCCAAAUCAAUCCUGAAAUUGCCUGUAGUUAUAUUGCAAGAGGGUACGUCUUAAGUUGCUUGUGACUCUUAACAGAAAUCAUUUGAGAAAUGCAAUUAUUUUUGAGUUAUAGGUCUAGUCAGUUUUAGAAUAAGUGCAACAGUGUCUUGACAUAUGGAGAAUUUUUGGUUAAGGUAUAAAGGUUUUUUUAUUGUUGAAUUAUUGCAUAGUUCCCUUUGAGUUUAUAGUUGAAGAUUUAACUGUUAGUGUUAAACAUGUAACUGUUAUUGUUAAGAAUUAACUUUAAAUUUUGAAUAAUGGGAAAAUUAGUGUCAUAUCAAAUUGUAAAUUGAUCUUAUACAGAAACUCUGUAUUUCAACUUUCUGCUCAGUUCUCACCAAGUACUGUACAAGGCUUCAAUCAUCUUGGAGUAUCCAUUACUUUUGUUAGGUCCUAAUGAAACUAAAUAAGUCUAAAAACUGCUGAAAAUACUCUAGCCGUACCAGAAAAGUCUGAAUAUAAGAACCAGAUAUUGUAAAUUGAUGUAAGUAACUUAGACAUUGUUCUUAUUUCUUCCUCUCAACCUUCCAGUCUGUCUGGACUUUUUUUUUUUUUUUUUUUUUUUUUUUUUUGUCAAGUCGAAAUCUUAUAUUGUACAUUCAGGGGGAUCUUUUCGGUCUGCUGUUAAAGCUGUUACGUCGGAACACUUUGCAGAUUUGCAGCACAACUUGUAAGCUGCUGAAUUGCAAUUUUCCACUUUUCAUGCUGUAAUAAUAAACCCUUCACAAUUUGUUGACCAAUUUCUGCAUACUCUCUCUCUCUCUCUCUCUCUCUCUCUCUCUCUCUCUCUC